AUACUUACCUGGCAGGGGAGACACCAUGAUCACAAAGGUGGUUUUCCCAGGGGGAGCUUAUCCAUUGCACUCCGGAUGUGCUAACCCCAGUGAUUUCCCCAAAUGUGGGAAACUGAACUGCAUAAUUUGUGGUAGUGGGGGACUGUGUUUGUGCUCUCCCCUA
Choloepus hoffmanni (Hoffmann's two-fingered sloth) is the source of this 163-nucleotide small nuclear RNA. Its record names the gene U1. It matches the Rfam family "U1 spliceosomal RNA". Rfam says of the family: U1 is a small nuclear RNA (snRNA) component of the spliceosome (involved in pre-mRNA splicing). The record is from Ensembl. NCBI's taxonomy places the organism in Eukaryota, Metazoa, Chordata, Mammalia, Pilosa, Megalonychidae.